Molecule: ribosomal RNA, 514 nt
Filed under: uncultured archaeon
Lineage: Archaea
Description: bacterial SSU rRNA
Rfam family: Archaeal small subunit ribosomal RNA
Source: RNAcentral
GGGAAAAUUCUGCAAUGUACGAAAGUAUGACAGAGCAAGCCAAAGUGCUUUUCUUUUAGAAAAGCUUUUGUGUGCUGUAAAAAGGCACACGAAUAAGGACCGGGAGAGACUGGUGCCAGCCGCCGCGGUAAUCCCAGCGGUCCAAGUCGCAGCCACAUUUGUUGGGUCUAAAACAUCCGUAGCUUGCCAUUUAAGUCUUUUGUGAAAUCGGGACUCUUAAGGUUCCGUCGGGCAAAAGAUACUGUUUGGCUAGAGACCGGGAGAUGUAAAGAGUACAGAUAGGGUAGUGGUUAAAUACGUUGAUCCUUUCUGGACUAACGAUAGCGAAGGCACUUUACAAGCACGGAUCUGACAGUGAGGGAUGAAGGCUAGGGGCGCAAAGUGGAUUAGAUACCCAUGUAGUCCUAGCAGUAAACACUGCACACUAAACAUUGGUGCCUCUUCGAGAGGCAUCAGUGCUGUAGGGAAGCCGGAGAGUGUGCUACCUGGGAAGUAUAGACGCAAGUCCGAAACU